UAUCAAACCACUUACAACAACUUCUUUUUUGUUUUUCUAAAAAAAAAAACCUAAUCAAACCAUAACCCCUCUUUCUCUUUUAGUUUCUCACAUUGUAGCCUCCCAACACCUCUCAUAAGAACAAGUCUUAUAUCUCUCUCCAUCACAACCUCAAAACUCGACAACCCCUUUCCUUAUUGGAUUGUGAUCUUCUCCUUCGUGGACAUGGGUAAGAUAAUAGCCAUCUCCCUCACCUCGACGUGAGCUUCUCAAUAGACCAACUGAGGCUGUCGCUCUACGUCUGUGAUAAUAACAAUAAUCAGUUUCUAAAUCAAUAGUUUCUCCUUCCAAGACAAUGAUGAGCAGCAGAAACCAAGAGAGAGAGAGAGAAAGAGAUGAAACCCAAAAAUGAAUGCAUAAGGAAGAAAAGAGAAGCAAA
Populus euphratica (Euphrates poplar) is the source of this 418-nucleotide long non-coding RNA. RefSeq lists it as uncharacterized. Lineage: Eukaryota; Viridiplantae; Streptophyta; Magnoliopsida; Malpighiales; Salicaceae. The transcript has 2 exons. The record is from RefSeq and is a predicted model, not a curated record.